Molecule: ribosomal RNA, 414 nt
Filed under: uncultured bacterium
Lineage: Bacteria
Description: bacterial SSU rRNA
Rfam family: Bacterial small subunit ribosomal RNA
Source: RNAcentral
AUUGAACGCUGGCGGAAUGCUUUACACAUGCAAGUCGAGCGGCAGCGCGGGGGCGAACCCUGGCGGCGGAGCGGCGAACGGGUGAGUAACAUAUCGGAACGUACCCCGUCGUGGGGGAUAACACAGCGAAAGCUGUGCUAAUACCGCAUACGACCUGAGGGUGAAAGCGGGGGAUCGCAAGACCUCGCGCGAUGGGAGCGGCCGAUAUCGGAUUAGCUUGUUGGUGAGGUAAAGGCUCACCAAGGCGACGAUCCGUAGCUGGUCUGAGAGGACGACCAGCCACACUGGAACUGAGACACGGUCCAGACUCCUACGGGAGGCAGCAGUGGGGAAUUUUGGACAAUGGGGGGCAACCCUGAUCCAGCCAUUCCGCGUGAGUGAAGAAGGCCUCGGUUGUAAGCUCUUUCUAGCAGG